GGGGCGCACCGGCGCCGCAGUCUCUCUCCGCGGACGCCAUGUGGUCUUCGGUGUUUGCUUCCCGUAGCUGGUCCUGGCGCCGGGGCCUAGCGCAGCGGAGCCGGUGCGAUGCCGAGCCGGAACUGGCCGGACGUCGAGGCGGAGCAGGACCCCACCAAGAGGUCGGAAAUUUAGGGUGGAGGACUGCCAGCAGCCGUGGCCUCCCAUGAGUCCGUCUUAGGGGUGUCCACUUCCUCAAGUUUUGAGAACUGAGUGCUGGAAUGCAGCCUGUGUUGGCAGCCACAGUGAAGGAGAGGAGGCUGUCUCCAGAGGAGUCUCCAGCAGCAGUACCACCACCAACUCUGGAUUGGGAUUCUGAAAGCAGCCUCUUUUAUGAAAACAGUCCAAGCAUGUGUCUGCUGACUCUGUUCUGUCUGGUCAGGCACAUUCGGUGAUCAUCCUGCCCCAUGGGAGCUUUUACACAUCUUAAUAAAAUGUUUGUGCACAAA
This is a long non-coding RNA of Onychomys torridus (southern grasshopper mouse), 488 nucleotides long. RefSeq lists it as uncharacterized. The record is from RefSeq and is a predicted model, not a curated record. The transcript is spliced from 5 exons. NCBI's taxonomy places the organism in Eukaryota, Metazoa, Chordata, Mammalia, Rodentia, Cricetidae.